Molecule: long non-coding RNA, 1034 nt
Filed under: Canis lupus dingo (dingo)
Lineage: Eukaryota; Metazoa; Chordata; Mammalia; Carnivora; Canidae
Description: lncRNA (ENSCAFG00020004630.1)
Source: RNAcentral
CAAUAGAUUCUCCCCAGUCAGAGUAGGUUAUGAAGGAGGCCUUCCGCUCGCACCCGCCUCUCCAGCACCCCCUUUAGGCCCGGGCAUCCCUGCGGGUGCCCAGACCGAACGCCAGCCGCGGGCCCGCGCCGGUUACCUGGCCGCGCGCUCCCGCUCCGCCUCACGCUUCCACGGGAUCGUUUUUGCCGCGGGCUCGCGCCAGCGCUGUGAGCGCACAAUUAGUUUAAACCAUGGCCCCGCCCCCUCGCGCCACCCUCUGAUUGGCCCCAGUCGGCUGGAGUUUCACGCAAGGGCACGCUUGAGGACCCGGGAAAAGGAAGUGUGAGGACCACUGGGAAGAGAGAAGGGGGUGUCACUAUUUCCGGACCCCGGCCUGGACUUGAGAGCAAAGAAAACUACAAGCCCCAGCACGUCCCGCGGCUUUGGAGCCCCGCCCCUGGCGAACUACAGCUCCCGGUAGGUAUCGCGGCAGCGCUUACGGCGGGUCGCCGGGUCGAGGUAGUUACUAUGGAGUUGACGCUGAGUAAGCCUGAGGUAGUGGGACGCCGAGGCUGGAGGGAAAACAACUGCGGCUUGGACAGAUGAAGAAGGCACUGGGAUCUGACUGGUCAUGAGGCAGAACAGCAGCUGGAAAAGGCUGACUCCAAAAACACAGCCACUGAAGUGAGCAAAGCAAUCCAGAUCUGCCCAGCAGCAGCCAGGUAGAGCAGGUGACACCUGAAGACACUAUUCAUUUCUUCUUUUUUCCAUUAUCCAUUUGUUCAUCAAGCCUUUAGUGAAGAUCAUUCUUUGCCAGGCUCAGUGCAGAGUAAUGGUGGGAAGAGAGAAAGAAGUCUGACUUCUGACCCUGGCCUCAAGCUUACAGGGAAAGAAUAGGAAGUAGUUUAUAAAGAAAUGAGAAACGAACUAGGGGUGGUAGAAGGGGAGGAGGGCGGGGGGUGGGAGUGAAUGGGUGACGGGCACUGGGGGUUAUUCUGUAUGUUAGUAAAUUGAACACCAAUAAAAAAUAAAUUAAAAAAAAAAAAAAAAAGAAA